This 37-nucleotide ribosomal RNA is filed under the name synthetic construct. The record is from RNAcentral.
GGGCCCGGUAAGUCUCUUCGGAGAUACUGCCGGGCCC